RNAcentral lists this ribosomal RNA (659 nucleotides) under uncultured fungus. RNAcentral's name for it is "eukaryotic LSU rRNA". It matches the Rfam family "Eukaryotic large subunit ribosomal RNA", at positions 24 to 664 of the family's 3401-position model. The record is from RNAcentral. Lineage: Eukaryota; Fungi.
CCCGCUGAACUUAAGCAUAUCAAUAAGCGGAGGAAAAGAAACUAACAAGGAUUCCCUUAGUAACUGCGAGUGAAGUGGGAAAAGCUCAAAUUUAGAAUCUGGCAGUCACUUGGCUGUCCGAGUUGUAAUCUAGAGAAGUGUUGCCCGUGCUGGACCAUGUACAAGUCUCCUGGAAUGGAGCAUCACAGAGGGUGAGAAUCCCGUCUUUGACACGGACUACCAGGGCUUAUGUGAUGUGCUCUCAAAGAGUCGAGUUGUUUGGGAAUGCAGCUCUAAAUGGGUGGUAAAUUCCAUCUAAAGCUAAAUAUUGGCGAGAGACCGAUAGCGAACAAGUACCGUGAGGGAAAGAUGAAAAGAACUUUGGAAAGAGAGUUAAACAGUACGUGAAAUUGUUGAAAGGGAAACGCUUGAAGUCAGUCGCGUUGCCCAGAAAUCAACCUUGCUUUUGCUUGGUGUACUUUCUGGUUAACGGGUCAGCAUCAAUUUUGACCGGUGGAUAAAGGUCAGGGGAAUGUGGCAUCUUCGGAUGUGUUAUAGCCCUUGGUUGCAUACAUCGAUUGGGAUUGAGGAACUCAGCAUGCCGCAAGGCCGGGUUUUUAACCACGUACAUGCUUAGGAUGCUGGCAUAAUGGCUUUAAUCGACCCGUCUUGAAACACGG